This 1460-nucleotide unclassified non-coding RNA is filed under the name Dimorphilus gyrociliatus. Its description in RNAcentral is "dgyrCDS5395". The record is from RNAcentral. Lineage: Eukaryota; Metazoa; Annelida; Polychaeta; Dinophilidae.
AUUGCUGCCUUAGAACAGCAAAAAGGACGCUUUGUGAAUGAACACAGCGUUUCUGGCCGUUUUAAUUCUGCUAUGAGAAGCACUCUUUAACUUCUAUAAUAGAGGGAAAAAAUUGUUUGCAUCAUAUUUUUUGAGUAGAGAGAAAGACACCAUACAAUCGGCGGUUGUCAGCCGCAAUACUGCAGUUUUACGGUAUAACCGAAAAACAACUUGCCAACUGCAAUAGCUGUAUCGAUCAAUUUCGUUGUAGGCCUCUACCUUAUUGACCCGUUUUGCCAUAAGUAAUUUACGCUCUUGACGAGCAAAUCGUGUAUCUUAUCAUUAGUUUCACUUUUAAUUGCAGAUUCUCAUAUUGAAUAGAAGAUAUGGCAGCCUUUAUUGCUAAGCAAAUGGUCGGUGACCAAUUAAAAUCUGUAAAAGGUGCAAUGGGAGAUGGAGACGAAGAGAAGAAGGAAGGAGACGGUGAAGAAGAUCCCGAAGUAGCAGAGGCCCGUAGAGAGGCUGAAGAAAAGAGAAAGGAAAAACAUCGUAAAAUGGAAGAAGAACGCGAAGAAAUGAGACAACAAAUUCGUGACAAGUAUGGUUUGAAAAAGAAGGAAAUUGUGAAAGAAGAGGAGCCAGACGUAGCUGGUAGACUAGGUCGCAAGAAGAAAUCGCCUGCAGAAUUAGCUGCAGAAAAUGAUUCCGAAAAUGAAGAAGGAAAUGACUCGUUCUUACCAACAAAUCUUAAUGAUCUGCAAUCGAAAGUCAGCGAUCUUCCGAACAAGGUGAUGUCAUCAGUUAGUGAAGUUGGUGACAAGUGCACUAUUCAAUAAGGACGAAGAAGAAGAUGGAGGAGCGAAUGGAGACUAAAAGCAUAGGGUAUAUGGUAAGGCAAAAAAAAAUGCGAAUACUAAUUAAAAUAGACAAUACUGUAUAACUUAGUUACAUAAAAAAAUAUGCACCAAAAACUUGGAUGCUCGUUUAAUUAGUCAUUGAAUGAAACGUUUUUUUAUAUACAUAUAUACAUAUAAAAAAUCUGUAUGGAUAUAUGUAUACAAAGUAUAUACAGUAUAUAUAUUCAACUGUUUUAAAUCAGUGUGCCUGUAAGUGUAAAGUAGUUUUAAUUCAAAGAAAUCAAGAAUUUCAAUUAAUUACAAAUAUCUUUCUCUUCUGCAAAUGUAUUAAAAUUCAUAUUCUUAUGCUAAUAGAAUCAAUCUAUUAGUAUCUGAGUAUAUUGUGUAUAAUUCUUAAAAUAUAUACAUAUAUAUAUAUAUACAGUAUAUAUAUAUAUAUAAGGUUUGAGUGUGCAUUAAGGAAAAAUAAGUCCUACACGAAACGUCUGCCAUAUUGUAGUUUACUUUAUUCGUCUAGAUACAGCAUGCAAUUUUUUCUCUUAUAUAAUUCAGAUAGACUUAAUUGUUAUGCAUACCAAGAAAAUUGUUCUCUGAAUACAAGUUAAAUAGAUGAUGCUAUACGAA